Molecule: ribosomal RNA, 402 nt
Filed under: uncultured bacterium
Lineage: Bacteria
Description: bacterial SSU rRNA
Rfam family: Bacterial small subunit ribosomal RNA
Source: RNAcentral
AGUCGAGCGGCAGCGCGGGGGCAACCCUGGCGGCGAGCGGCGAACGGGUGAGUAACAUAUCGGAACGUACCCCGUCGUGGGGGAUAACACAGCGAAAGCUGUGCUAAUACCGCAUACGACCUGAGGGUGAAAGCGGGGGACCGUAAGGCCUCGCGCGAUGGGAGCGGCCGAUAUCGGAUUAGCUUGUUGGUGAGGUAAAGGCUCACCAAGGCGACGAUCCGUAGCUGGUCUGAGAGGACGACCCGCCACACUGGAACUGAGACACGGUCCAGACUCCUACGGGAGGCAGCAGUGGGGAAUUUUGGACAAUGGGGGCAACCCUGAUCCAGCAAUGCCGCGUGAGUGAAGAAGGCCUUCGGGUUGUAAAGCUCUUUUGUCAGGGAAGAAACGGUGAUCUCUAAU